UCGGACAGGCGCUCUGCUCCUCUUUAAAGAGCAUGGAUUUAUCCAUACCGUACGACAUGAAUGAAAUGAGUUCUCAGGGCUGCCAGCUUUCUAGUUAGGGUUCUGCAGGAGUACGUUUCUUCCACAAUG
Molecule: small nucleolar RNA, 129 nt
Organism: Acomys russatus (golden spiny mouse)
Lineage: Eukaryota; Metazoa; Chordata; Mammalia; Rodentia; Muridae
Product: small nucleolar RNA U109
Exons: 1
Source: RefSeq, a predicted model, not a curated record